GACGAACGUUGGCGGCGUGCUUAAUACAUGCAAGUCCACUGAAGCAGUGGUAGCAAUAUCGCUGUGGAGGUGGCGCACGGGUGAGUAACACGUAGGUAAUCUGCCUUCAGGUCUGGCAUAACUCCGGGAAACCGGGGCUAAUAGCAGAUGAUGCAGCGGCUCGACAUCGAGACAGUUGUUAAAGCUAUGGCGCCUGAAGAUGAGCCUGCGUCUGAUUAGCUAGUUGGCGGGGUAACGGCCCACCAAGGCAACGAUCAGUAGCUGGUCUGAGAGGAUGAUCAGCCACAGUGGAACUGAGACACGGUCCAGACUCCUACGGGAGGCAGCAGUAAGGAAUAUUGCUCAAUGGGAGAAAUCCUGAAGCAGCAACGCCGCGUGAGGGACGAAGGGCUUUUGCUUGUAAACCUCUGUAGUGAGAGAAAAAAAUCCCAAUCUUUGGGACAUGAUGGUAUCUCAAAAGUAAGCCCCGGCUAACUACGUG
Molecule: ribosomal RNA, 481 nt
Filed under: uncultured bacterium
Lineage: Bacteria
Description: partial 16S ribosomal RNA
Rfam family: Bacterial small subunit ribosomal RNA
Source: RNAcentral